This 406-nucleotide unclassified non-coding RNA is filed under the name Hevea brasiliensis (rubber tree). The record is from RNAcentral. Lineage: Eukaryota; Viridiplantae; Streptophyta; Magnoliopsida; Malpighiales; Euphorbiaceae.
GUGAUUUCCCAAAUGUUGAGCACUUCAGAGAGGUUUUGAGUGGUUACAGCAUUGACAAGUUUGAAAAGUUAAAGCCUAAAAUGAUACAAGCUGUUGAUGACAUGCUUGGUUAUGACAUCCCAGAGCUCCUGAAGAACUUCAGAAAUCCCUACGACUAAGUAGCAGUUUAUAGAGGAUGAAAUUUAGAUCAAGACUAGAUGGAAGUUGAAUCUCUGUUGCAUCUUGUGGGAGCAUUGCACAGCUUAAAACUUCACCGUUGUUCAUUGAUUUGGGUCAUUAUGGGGCUCGAAUGCAGACUUAUGUAGAAAAUAUAUAAUCGAUUCAGGUGCUUGAUUUACUUGUGCUUGAUUUAAUUGCUCCUAACUUUUUGUAAUUUUCCUAGUUUUUAUUUCAACGGCUUUUUUUU